This 1403-nucleotide ribosomal RNA is filed under the name uncultured bacterium. RNAcentral describes it as "bacterial SSU rRNA". It matches the Rfam family "Bacterial small subunit ribosomal RNA". The record is from RNAcentral.
AGAGUUUGAUCCUGGCUCAGGACGAACGCUGGCGGCGUGCCUAACACAUGCAAGUCGAACGGAGUAAAACGCUGAAUUUGAUAUUAGUUUACUGAUGGAUUAUUCUUGUUUUACUUAGUGGCGGACGGGUGAGUAACGCGUGAGGAACCUGCCCUUCAGAGGGGGACAACAGUUGGAAACGACUGCUAAUACCGCAUGAAGUAUCUCUGGGACAUCCCUAAGAUACCAAAGGAGCAAUCCGCUGAAGGAUGGCCUCGCGUCCGAUUAGAUAGUUGGUGGGGUAACGGCCCACCAAGUCGACGAUCGGUAGCCGGACUGAGAGGUUGAACGGCCACAUUGGGACUGAGACACGGCCCAGACUCCUACGGGAGGCAGCAGUAGGGAAUUUUGCGCAAUGGGGGAAACCCUGACGCAGCAACGCCGCGUGAAUGAUUAAGCCCUUCGGGGUGUAAAGUUCUGUCAGUGGGGGCGAAACUUGACGGUACCCACAGAGGAAGCACCGGCUAACUCCGUGCCAGCAGCCGCGGUAAUACGGAGGGUGCGAGCGUUGUCCGGAAUCAUUGGGCGUAAAGAGUUCGUAGGCGGUACGUUAAGUCAGGUGUUAAAGGCAGAGGCUCAACUUCUGUAUGGCACUUGAUACUGGCGAACUAGAAUGCGGUAGAGGUAAAGGGAAUUCCUGGUGUAGCGGUGAAAUGCGUAGAUAUCAGGAGGAACAUCGGUGGCGUAAGCGCUUUACUGGGCCGUAAUUGACGCUGAGGAACGAAAGCCGGGGUAGCAAAUGGGAUUAGAUACCCCAGUAGUCCCGGCCGUAAACGAUGGAUACUAAGUGUGAGAGGUACUGACCCCUCUCGUGCUGGAGUUAACGCAUUAAGUAUCCCACCUGGGGAGUACGAUCGCAAGGUUGAAACUCAAAGGAAUUGACGGGGGCCCGCACAAGCAGUGGAGUAUGUGGUUUAAUUCGAAGCAACGCGAAAAACCUUACCAGGCCUUGACAUCCAACUAACGAAGUAGAGAUACAUUAGGUGCCCUUCGGGGAAAGUUGAGACAGGUGGUGCAUGGUUGUCGUCAGCUCGUGUCGUGAGAUGUUGGGUUAAGUCCCGCAACGAGCGCAACCCUUACUGUUAGUUGCUACGCAAGAGCACUCUAACAGGACUGCCGUUGACAAAACGGAGGAAGGUGGGGACGACGUCAAAUCAUCAUGCCCUUUAUGUCUUGGGCUUCACGCAUGCUACAAUGGCCGGUACAAAGGGUUGCGAUACUGUGAGGUGGAGCUAAUCCCAAAAAGCCGGUCUCAGUUCGGAUUGAGGUCUGCAACUCGACCUCAUGAAGUUGGAGUCGCUAGUAAUCGCGGAUCAGCAUGCCGCGGUGAAUACGUUCCCGGGCCUUGCACUCACCGCCCGUCA